GUGCUCACUUUGGCAGCACAUAUACUAAAAUUGGAACAAUACAGAGAAGAUUAGCUUGGCCCCUGCGCAAGGAUGACACGCAAAUUCGUGAAGCGUUCCAUAAAAAA
This is a small nuclear RNA of Spermophilus dauricus (Daurian ground squirrel), 107 nucleotides long. NCBI's taxonomy places the organism in Eukaryota, Metazoa, Chordata, Mammalia, Rodentia, Sciuridae. The record is from Ensembl.